AGGGAAUAUUGCGCAAUGGACGGAAGUCUGACGCAGCGACGCCGCGUGAGCGAUGAAGGUCUUCGGAUCGUAAAGCUCUGUCCUUGGGGAAGAAGGUCUUCGGACUUGACGGUACCCAAGAAGAAAGCCCCGGCUAACUACGUGCCAGCAGCCGCGGUAAUACGUAGGGGGCGAGCGUUGUCCGGAAUUACUGGGCGUAAAGGGUGCGUAGGCGGCCCUUUAAGUCGGAUGUGAAAGCCCGCGGCUUAACCGCGGAAUGGCAUUCGAAACUGGAGGGCAUGAGUGUCGGAGAGGGUAGUGGAAUUCCCAGUGUAGCGGUGAAAUGCGUAGAUAUUGGGAGGAACACCAGUGGCGAAGGCGACUACCUGGACGAUAACUGACGCUGAGGCACGAAAGCUAGGGGAGCAAAC
RNAcentral lists this ribosomal RNA (410 nucleotides) under uncultured bacterium. RNAcentral describes it as "bacterial SSU rRNA". It matches the Rfam family "Bacterial small subunit ribosomal RNA", at positions 356 to 773 of the family's 1533-position model. The record is from RNAcentral.